This 378-nucleotide ribosomal RNA is filed under the name uncultured Thermogymnomonas sp. RNAcentral's name for it is "bacterial SSU rRNA". It matches the Rfam family "Archaeal small subunit ribosomal RNA", at positions 343 to 722 of the family's 1478-position model. The record is from RNAcentral. Lineage: Archaea; Methanobacteriati; Thermoplasmatota; Thermoplasmata; Thermoplasmatales.
AAAACUGUGCAAUGCGCGAAAGCGCGACACGGGAAGCCUGAGUGCUUUAGCGUUUUGCUAAAGCUUUUCUUGAGCCUAAAAAGCUCAGGGAAUAAGGGCUGGGUAAGACGGGUGCCAGCCGCCGCGGUAACACCCGCGGCUCAAGUGGUAGUCACUUUUAUUGAGCCUAAAGCGUUCGUAGCCGGAUCUGUAAAUCUCUAGGAAAAUCCUUCUGCUUAACAGAAGAAAUUCUGGAGAGACUGUAGAUCUAGGGACCGGGUGAGGUUGAAUGUACUUCUGGGGUAGGGGUAAAAUCCUGUAAUCCUGGAAGGACGACCGGUGGCGAAGGCGUUCAACUAGAACGGAUUCGACGGUGAGGAACGAAGGCUAGGGGAGCAA